Molecule: unclassified non-coding RNA, 1497 nt
Filed under: Pomacea canaliculata
Lineage: Eukaryota; Metazoa; Mollusca; Gastropoda; Architaenioglossa; Ampullariidae
Description: probable cytochrome P450 CYP44, transcript variant X5
Source: RNAcentral
GGUACGUUGUAUGCGAAGCCGAAAUAAAAACUUUUGUGUCGCGUCUUCGUCACGAAAAAACAUCACCUCAUUUUUUUUUAUAAUUAAUGAGCCCCCAUAAUGAGGCAAAAACUUUGUUCUCCGACCCUUUUUCGGGAAGGUGGAACAGCUAUUGUCAUACAGCUAAAGAAUCUGAAAAUAUCAUGCAGCAAAUUGGGAAAAACAUUCAGAAUGCAGUGUACCGUGUAAAUUUUUCUUUGAAGCUUCAAAGUGUGUCUGUGAAAAAUGUAGCUUCUGUGACUUCAGACACAAGUGAUAGAUGGUCAAAGAAUGUGAAGUCUUUUGAUGAUAUCCCAGGGCCCAAAGGCUUGCCUUAUUUUGGAACUCUUCUGCCGUACAGGCUAGGCUGGCUAAACAUGAAAAAUGUUCCUGACGUCCUAAGACAGUGGUACAAGCAGUAUGGUGGUAUUGUCAAAGAAAUAAGGGCUGGUCACACUGUCGUACACAUCUUUGACCCUGACUUGAUCCGCUUUGUGUAUGCUGGUGAGGACAAAUGGCCCCGCAUUGAACCUUUGCUAGAAACAACACAGCUAUAUCGAAAACAGUUUGAUAUGUCUCCAGGGUUAGGAAACACCAAUGAUGAAGAAUGGUAUCGGCUACGAACUGCCAUCCAGCAGCUCAUGAUGCGACCAAAAGAGGUGCUGUUCUUUCUACCUGGGGCUGACAGAGUGGCACUGGACUUUGUAUCACACAUCAAGCAGCACAGAAAUUCCAGAAAUGAGGUACCAGACUUCAGCACUGAGCUUGGAAGGUGGUCUUUAGAAUCAUCAGGAGUGGGCAGUUUUGACAGGUGCUUGGGAUUUCUAACAGAAUCUGGUAGAAGAGAAGCUGUGGAGUUAAUUGAUGCAAACACCACAGUGUUUGAGUUGACAGCAAAACUCAAGUUUGCACUUCCUCUGUACAAGUACCUGCCAAGUCCCACCUGGAAGAGGCUUGUGGCAGCUGAAAGCACUAUAUUCAGAGAAUUCAAGCGCCAUUUUGAUACCACCUUUGAGACAUUAAAGAAGAAGAUAACCAGUGGUCAGCUGAAGGAAGGGGAAUUCCGUUUUCUUUGCUACAUGUUGGGAAGACCAGAACUGGGAGAGAAGGAUAUUGUCACACUCACACUGUCACGCUUCAUUGAUGGCUUGUCUACCACAACCCAGGCCCUACUGUUUGCACUAUACUGCCUUGCUACAAAUUCUGCAGCACAGGAAAAGGCGUUUGAGGAAAUUAAUUCUCUUUUGAGUCCCUCAUCUACUUUGACUGCCGAUACUUUCAAUCAGCUUUCAUACGUCCGAGCUAUUAUUAAAGAGAGCUUCAGGUAAUAGGAGAGGACUGUUCCCUAUCAAUAUCGAGAUUGCCCGAGUCACUAAAAAAAAUAUGAUUAUUGGUGAUUACCAGAUUCCAGAAGGGACUGUCAUUCAUUUAAAUAACACCACCUUGUUCCGUGACCCUGAGUUCUUUGAAGAACCUGAC